CGUGAGCUCUCUAAUGCAGCGUGAAAACGCCCCUUCCAGAAGGCCCAACCAAAGCAGCUCUCCCGCCGCGCUUGCGGUCAGCCACCGGCACGCUCGCCGCCCACGGGAACCCUAAUCUCUCCGUGUUCUCGCCGUGGCAUCACGAUAAGACGGCGAUACCCUCGAGAUACGAUUUGUACUCAUGUCUCAUUAGUCUGCUGCAGCUGACAGCUAUUGCAAACUCCUAACAGUGAAUGCUACAUUAACACUUUGUCCUUGUUCUAGCAGUAAGAAGAUCUUGUGGGUUACUAACCAGGCUUCAUAACUCUGAAGUGCCAAAAGGUGCAGCUGACCUUGUUAUUGGAUUUCAUCUGUCAUUUGUACGACAUACUUAACGUUACAGGUACUUCUGGACCCACAGGUCAUUUAAGUAAAUGACAUUCUUGAUUGUGGUAGAUUGAGCAAACCAAACAUGCUAAGUUGGUUAGGCUGAGUUGAAGCUUGAGAAAAGGAGAAAGUUGGUGACAGAUCUAGAAUUCUUAAAAGCUAUCCAAGAUGAUACUACAUGUCAUUGAAAAUGAAAAUUUUUGUCCUGCAAGUCUUAAGUGCAAACAAGAAAGCCUAGAGCCCUCCUCAUUUAUGCCUGUUCUCACUGAUUGAGGAGUAAGAAUGAAGAAAUAUUGAUGACUUGUUAGGAAAUCAAACCUUAUUUGUGGUGUUCAAGUCUUGAACCGCAUCCAAAGAAGCCUGGACGCGUUCUCAUUCACAUCUGCAGCCUCCUUGAUGGACUCUGAUGAGCAAAACUUGAUACAGGAUUCAGGAUCUUUUUAUGUCUGGUCAUCGGCUGUUCAAAACAAAGUACUGAGCUACCAAAACUAAUCUCUGAGUCAGAUAUUUAAAUAGAUUUAUCGUCCCAUUGUUGUGUCUUUGUUAUUGUUGCUGGUAUCAUUGUUUAGCUACAAAAGUUUAAAGAAGUGAAGUGUCCUCCCUUAUCAUAUGAGGGUGACUACUUAACCAACGCCUUUUCUCUGUGGCAUGUUGCUGGUGGGGACAACCUAAACCUCCUCUCUUUUUCAUCGGAGAGGGUAUGCUUUUGUUUGUUGUUGCUCUUCCAUUCAGAUGACAGUUUUGUUGCGCCUACUUUGCUUUUUUCUUCCUUUAUUUUCUAGGACCUGGUAAAUGCACUCACUCCCUUUGCUGGCCGAUGCGCUCCUCUAUUGCCCCAGACAGUGACAAUGUUCUUAUUACAAAAUUCUAAUUAUUUGUGCUUCUUUUAUA
Molecule: long non-coding RNA, 1257 nt
Organism: Phoenix dactylifera (date palm)
Lineage: Eukaryota; Viridiplantae; Streptophyta; Magnoliopsida; Arecales; Arecaceae
Source: RefSeq, a predicted model, not a curated record